GACGAACGCUGGCGGCGUGCCUAAUACAUGCAAGUUGAGCGCUGAAGGUUGGUACUUGUACCAACUGGAUGAGCAGCGAACGGGUGAGUAACGCGUGGGGAAUCUGCCUUUGAGCGGGGGACAACAUUUGGAAACGAAUGCUAAUACCGCAUAAAAACUUUAAACACAAGUUUUAAGUUUGAAAGAUGCAAUUGCAUCACUCAAAGAUGAUCCCGCGUUGUAUUAGCUAGUUGGUGAGGUAAAGGCUCACCAAGGCGAUGAUACAUAGCCGACCUGAGAGGGUGAUCUGCCACAUUGGGACUGAGACACGGCCCAAACUCCUUCGGGAGGCAGCAGUAGGGAAUCUUCGGCAAUGGACGAAAGUCUGACUGAGCAACGCCGCGUGAGUGAAGAAGGUUUUCGGAUCGUAAAACUCUGUUGGCAGAGAAGAACGUUGGUGAGAGUGGAACGCUCAUCAAGUGACGGUAACUACCCAGAAAGGGACGGCUAACUACGUG
Molecule: ribosomal RNA, 497 nt
Filed under: uncultured bacterium
Lineage: Bacteria
Description: partial 16S ribosomal RNA
Rfam family: Bacterial small subunit ribosomal RNA
Source: RNAcentral